AGGAACGCUGGCGGCGUGCUUAACACAUGCAAGUCGAACGGACCUUAGCAUCAAGCUUGCUUAAUGCGAAAGGUUAGUGGCGGACGGGUGAGUAACACGUGGAUAAUCUGCCUAUGACACAGGGAUAACACUGUGAAAACGGUGCUAAUACCAGAUACGUUUAUCGAAUCGCAUGGUUUGAUAAAGAAAGGAGCAAUCCGGUCAUAGAUGAGUCCGCGGCUGAUUAGCUAGUUGGUGAGGUAACGGCUCACCAAGGCGAUGAUCAGUAGCCGGCCUGAGAGGGUGAACGGCCACACUGGGACUGAGACACGGCCCAGACUCCUACGGGAGGCAGCAGGUGGGGAAUCUUCCGCAAUGGACGAAAGUCUGACGGAGCAACGCCGCGUGGGUGAUGAAGGUUUUCGGAUUGUAAAGCUCUGUCUUCCGGGACGAUAAUGACGGUACCGGAGGAGGAAGCCACGGCUAACUACGUG
RNAcentral lists this ribosomal RNA (473 nucleotides) under uncultured bacterium. Its description in RNAcentral is "bacterial SSU rRNA". It matches the Rfam family "Bacterial small subunit ribosomal RNA", at positions 31 to 507 of the family's 1533-position model. The record is from RNAcentral.